UUCGAGAGCAGGGGAGAGUCCCAGGGGCAAUACGGGCACCGAAGGGGCAAGUCCGUUGUUGGCUUAUAGCGGAUGAAACUCUCAGGUAAAUGGACCCUGCUCCCGCC
RNAcentral lists this non-coding RNA (107 nucleotides) under Chloroflexota bacterium. RNAcentral describes it as "Chloroflexi bacterium Glycine sequence". It matches the Rfam family "Glycine riboswitch aptamer". Rfam says of the family: This family represents the bacterial glycine riboswitch. Glycine riboswitches usually consist of two metabolite-binding aptamers domains with similar structures in tandem. Lineage: Bacteria; Bacillati; Chloroflexota. The record is from RNAcentral.